RNAcentral lists this non-coding RNA (690 nucleotides) under Pongo abelii (Sumatran orangutan). Lineage: Eukaryota; Metazoa; Chordata; Mammalia; Primates; Hominidae. The record is from RNAcentral.
AAAUUAUACAGCCAUGUUUAUGAAGUCUACAUUUCCCUUGUCUUGGAUAUAUAUAUAUGGAGAUAUAUAUACAAUUCAAGCAGUUUUAAUUAAGGGUAAUCAUUGGGUUUUUCUGAAACCGGAAAGUCACGAGUCUCUCUCUUUUUUCACUUUCACAUCUCCAGCAAGGAUGGUUGCAAUUUCCCCUUGCAUAAAGGCCCAGGGGACAUUGGAGCCCACAAGAGGGCAUUUUUCCCCACUGGGACAAUAGACCUCUCCACUAGCUCCCUGCUGUUUGAUGCUUUGUCUGGAGCAAGGGAAGCAGAACUUGUGCGAAGGGACGGACGGGCACUGCACAAAAUGGGUGUCCUCCAGCCGCUCGUGGCAGAGGGUGCAGCACAGCGGGGCACUGGCUGCCAGAGAGGAGUCCGGGAGGCUGGCAGGGUGCACUGGCUCCAGUCCUCCUGUGUUGCCUGCUCCCUGGCCCCCCACCUCUCUGGGGCCCAGCCUUCUUUGGUUCAUAGAGGACGGAGAGGGCGGACUGUUGCUAUUCCUCCUGGUAGUGGAGUGAACCUGGUUGGCAUCUUUUGAGGCAUGACUGCCCCCUGCAUUGUCUGCUACUAAGAUCAGGGCUGCCAUGGGGGAUUGGGCAUGCGGGGCAGGUCACACAGGUAGCACGACUGCCGCCGGGACGCGGCCGCCACCGCCACC